UUGGACACCAAUGUGGUGCCACAGAGGCUGCCAUCAUGAUCAAUUUGGGGCCAUAAUGCUUCAGACUAGCGCCAGAUGAAACAGACAGCGUAGAAUGUAAAUAAAGCCUUAGACACACUACUGCUAAAGUUAGAGCAUCUGUAACAGUGAACAUAUGUAGAUUCCCCCAAAGACCUUGCUGGGGAAAGGUUGGAAAAUUGAGGGCACACAGAAACAUUGGCAUCAGAGCUUGUGGGGUAGCCCAGUUCUCACACUUUGGGAAGAAUGUAUGGACUGGAUUGUUUCUGCUUAUCUGGGAGUUUUAAAGGAUGCAGUGAAUGAAGAUAUUAGAAGAGAACUGUGUGAGUGUGACCAACUCAGAGUGUGACCAACCAUGAAGAUAUUGUGGAGUAGAAGAGAGCUAUGUAUUCCACCUUGAACUCAUUUCAGAAAUGUGAGGUAUAAAUGUAAUAAUAAAUAAGACUUAACUAAGUACUAGAUGCUCAAGACUGCAUUGAAUACAAUCAGGUUUCUGGCCCAGAUUCAGCCAUGGAAA
Molecule: long non-coding RNA, 535 nt
Organism: Anolis carolinensis (green anole)
Lineage: Eukaryota; Metazoa; Chordata; Lepidosauria; Squamata; Anolidae
Exons: 3
Source: RefSeq, a predicted model, not a curated record